UGAAAUCAUUUUGCAAUAUAUGGAAAUAGA
RNAcentral lists this non-coding RNA (30 nucleotides) under Mus musculus (house mouse). Lineage: Eukaryota; Metazoa; Chordata; Mammalia; Rodentia; Muridae. The record is from RNAcentral.